GUGUGAUGGCAGCACAUAUGCUAAAAUUGGAACGAUGCAAAGAUUAACGUGGCCGCUGUACAAGGAUGACAUGCAAAUUCGUGAAGCAUUGCAUAUUUUU
RNAcentral lists this small nuclear RNA (100 nucleotides) under Vombatus ursinus (common wombat). Lineage: Eukaryota; Metazoa; Chordata; Mammalia; Diprotodontia; Vombatidae. The record is from RNAcentral.